RNAcentral lists this ribosomal RNA (344 nucleotides) under uncultured fungus. Its description in RNAcentral is "SSU rRNA". It matches the Rfam family "Eukaryotic small subunit ribosomal RNA", at positions 292 to 636 of the family's 1831-position model. The record is from RNAcentral. Lineage: Eukaryota; Fungi.
GGUUCAUUCAAAUUUCUUCCCUAUCAACUUUCGAUGUUUGGGUAUUGGCCAAACAUGGUUGCAACGGGUAACGGAGGGUUAGGGCUCGACCCCGGAGAAGGAGCCUGAGAAACGGCUACUACAUCCAAGGAAGGCAGCAGGCGCGCAAAUUACCCAAUCCCGACCGGGGAGGUAGUGACAAUAAAUACUGAUACAGGGCUCUUUUGGGUCUUGUAAUUGGAAUGAGUACAAUUUAAAUCCCUUAACGAGGAACAAUUGGAGGGCAAGUCUGGUGCCAGCAGCCGCGGUAAUUCCAGCUCCAAUAGCGUAUAUUAAGGUUGUUGUGGUUAAAAAGCUCGUAGUUG